UUGAACGCUGGCGGCAGGCCUAACACCUGCAAGUCGAGCGGAUGAAGGGAGCUUGCUCCUGGAUUCAGCGGCGGACGGGUGAGUAAUGCCUAGGAAUCUGCCUGGUAGUGGGGGAUAACGUCCGGAAACGGGCGCUAAUACCGCAUACGUCCUGAGGGAGAAAGUGGGGGAUCUUCGGACCUCACGCUAUCAGAUGAGCCUAGGUCGGAUUAGCUAGUUGGUGGGGUAAAGGCCUACCAAGGCGACGAUCCGUAACUGGUCUGAGAGGAUGAUCAGUCACACUGGAACUGAGACACGGUCCAGACUCCUACGGGAGGCAGCAGUGGGGAAUAUUGGACAAUGGGCGAAAGCCUGAUCCAGCCAUGCCGCGUGUGUGAAGAAGGUCUUCGGAUUGUAAAGCACUUUAAGUUGGGAGGAAGGGCAGUAAGUUAAUACCUUGCUGUUUUGACAUUACCAACAGAAUAAGCACCGGCUAACUUCGUG
This 483-nucleotide ribosomal RNA is filed under the name uncultured bacterium. RNAcentral's name for it is "partial 16S ribosomal RNA". It matches the Rfam family "Bacterial small subunit ribosomal RNA", at positions 30 to 507 of the family's 1533-position model. The record is from RNAcentral.